RNAcentral lists this unclassified non-coding RNA (305 nucleotides) under plant metagenome. RNAcentral describes it as "partial contains 5.8S ribosomal RNA, internal transcribed spacer 2, and large subunit ribosomal RNA". The stretch from base 1 to 105 matches the Rfam family "5.8S ribosomal RNA", at positions 50 to 154 of the family's 154-position model. The record is from RNAcentral.
GAAAUGCGAUAAGUAAUGUGAAUUGCAGAAUUCAGUGAAUCAUCGAAUCUUUGAACGCACAUUGCGCCCGCCAGUAUUCUGGCGGGCAUGCCUGUUCGAGCGUCAUUUCAACCAUCAAGCCCCCGGCUUGUGUUGGGGACCUGCGGCUGCCCGCAGGCCCUGAAAAACAGUGGCGGGCUCGCUGUCACACCGAGCGUAGUAGCAUACAUUCUCGCUCAGGGCAUGCUGCGGGUUCCGGCCGUUAAACGACCUUCAUAACCCAAGGUUGACCUCGGAUCAGGUAGGAAGACCCGCUGAACUUAAGC